This 336-nucleotide ribosomal RNA is filed under the name Triticum aestivum (bread wheat). RNAcentral describes it as "partial small subunit ribosomal RNA". Lineage: Eukaryota; Viridiplantae; Streptophyta; Magnoliopsida; Poales; Poaceae. The record is from RNAcentral.
AUGACCGGAAAGGGGGCUGACAACGGGGAAAGAGACGAUGGCCAGGAGCAGCUGCGAGCUCCACCGCCGGCGCUCUCGAGCUCGCAUACGUGCGGGCCGACGCCGCUUGGCCACGAGCAGCAGCUCCACCGCGGCUCCCCUGCAGCUCCAUCCCUUGCCCUUGCACCUCGCUGCGGCACAGCCCGGGGAACCUCAACGAUGAGCUCCGCCACCACUGGGGCGCUCGAGCUCGCCGGCGUGCGGACCGAGGGCGCCGUGCGGCGAGCCGCAGCUCCACCGCGCCUCCCCUGCCCCUUGCUGCCGUGCAGCCCAUCGACCCUUGACACACGCCAUUGA